GGGGAAAGGCCGAAGGAGCUUAACUACCGUGGUUUCCUCGAACCUUAUCGUUAUAAAUCCUGUGGGUCCUGAAAUAAGUUUAAAUUGCCUGGCUGCUCAGGGGAGUUGGCAGCUAGAGGGGAAAUGAGUAGCUUCUUCCUCAAUGAGUUGUCACCGCCGUAAAAGAGAAAGGAUGAAGCACUUGGAGGUUCUUUUGGAAAGAGCGGGUAUGAAAGUGGCAUAAGAGGUCAUAUUUAGGAACAAAACAAAAUGACAAGAUGCCAAGAGUGCUGAAGCUUGAAGAAGCGUCCCAGCCAAAGGUACUAACUGUGCUUCAGAGCUACACUGGCGCGAGGCUACAAACCUCUCCUCCCACCCCCCUCACUGUCCUCCUCUGCGUUGCUGUUCGGGGGAGCUGCGUUGAGCCCAGGCCACACUGAGCUUCCUUUAGUUCCACUUAAUCAGUAGUCUGCACACGUGCUCCUAAAGGUGAGAGUUAAUAGACUGAGGCAGAUGGGUCUGCGUGAUAAGACCGAUUAUCUCUCAGGACAUCGUGGCACCGCCAUCCGCCAGGCACGAAGGUAUGCAGGGAUAUGCAGUCUUCUGUUUGGAACAUCAGAGGAAAACAACCUAAGGGUCUUUAAGCAAUUAGUAGCUUUCGCAUGACUGAACAGCUUGGCAGGAUGUGGUAUGGGCUGUGCAGAGUGGAAGAUAGCUGUUCUUCAAUUGAAAAACAUACAUUGUUUUGUAAAAUCACACGUAGCAGUUAAAUUUAAAGUUAUGAUAUUCAUCUGAAUGGUAAUAUAACAGAAAAACUAAUAUAAUGUCACCAGCAUUCCUGUUCUAUUCGGUAACGAUGUGACAUUGAUCAGUGUCUGUUAACUUACACUAGGUUUAGACUUUGCGGGGGUAAUGUUACUGUCAGAAUGUGGUUAAUCCUGAGAGCCAUGGG
This 931-nucleotide long non-coding RNA is filed under the name Fukomys damarensis (Damara mole-rat). RNAcentral's name for it is "lncRNA (ENSFDAG00000027588.1)". The record is from RNAcentral. Lineage: Eukaryota; Metazoa; Chordata; Mammalia; Rodentia; Bathyergidae.